RNAcentral lists this ribosomal RNA (506 nucleotides) under uncultured bacterium. RNAcentral's name for it is "partial 16S ribosomal RNA". It matches the Rfam family "Bacterial small subunit ribosomal RNA", at positions 30 to 523 of the family's 1533-position model. The record is from RNAcentral.
AUUGAACGCUGGCGGCAUGCCUUACACAUGCAAGUCGAACGGCAGCAUGGUCUAGCUUGCUAGAUUGAUGGCGAGUGGCGAACGGGUGAGUAAUACAUCGGAACGUGCCCUGUAGUGGGGGAUAACUAGUCGAAAGAUUAGCUAAUACCGCAUACGACCUGAGGGUGAAAGUGGGGGACCGCAAGGCCUCAUGCUAUAGGAGCGGCCGAUGUCUGAUUAGCUAGUUGGUGAGGUAAAGGCUCACCAAGGCGACGAUCAGUAGCUGGUCUGAGAGGACGAUCAGCCACACUGGGACUGAGACACGGCCCAGACUCCUACGGGAGGUAGCAGUGGGGAAUUUUGGACAAUGGGGGCAACCCUGAUCCAGCAAUGCCGCGUGUGUGAAGAAGGCCUUCGGGUUGUAAAGCACUUUUGUCCGGAAAGAAAUCGCACUUACUAAUAUUAGGUGUGGAUGACGGUACCGGAAGAAUAAGGACCGGCUAACUACGUGCCAGCCGCCGCCGUAA